This 425-nucleotide ribosomal RNA is filed under the name uncultured Clostridium sp. Its description in RNAcentral is "bacterial SSU rRNA". It matches the Rfam family "Bacterial small subunit ribosomal RNA", at positions 355 to 794 of the family's 1533-position model. The record is from RNAcentral. Lineage: Bacteria; Bacillati; Bacillota; Clostridia; Eubacteriales; Clostridiaceae.
UGGGGGAUAUUGCACAAUGGGGGAAACCCUGAUGCAGCAAUGCCGCGUGAGGGAAGAAGGUCUUCGGAUUGUAAACCUAAGUUGUCAGGGACGAAACAAAUGACGGUACCUGAAAAGAAAGCUCCGGCUAACUACGUGCCAGCAGCCGCGGUAAUACGUAGGGAGCGAGCGUUGUCCGGAUUUACUGGGUGUAAAGGGUGCGUAGGCGGGUUUGCAAGUCAGGCGUGAAAUACCGAGGCUUAACUUCGGGGCUGCGCUUGAAACUGUAGAUCUUGAGUGAAGUAGAGGCAAGCGGAAUUCCUAGUGUAGCGGUGAAAUGCGUAGAUAUUAGGAGGAACACCAGUGGCGAAGGCGGCUUGCUGGGCUUUAACUGACGCUGAGGCACGAAAGCAUGGGGAGCAAACAGGAUUAGAUACCCUGGUAGU